UGGAGUUUCCAACGGAAAGGGCUCUCAA
This 28-nucleotide non-coding RNA is filed under the name Rattus norvegicus (Norway rat). The record is from RNAcentral. Lineage: Eukaryota; Metazoa; Chordata; Mammalia; Rodentia; Muridae.